RNAcentral lists this long non-coding RNA (32697 nucleotides) under Eucalyptus grandis. Its description in RNAcentral is "long non-coding RNA (EGRA_LNC004487)". The record is from RNAcentral. Lineage: Eukaryota; Viridiplantae; Streptophyta; Magnoliopsida; Myrtales; Myrtaceae.
CUGUUCAUUUCUUUCACUUGUGAAAUUUUACUGUUGAAUUACAUUCAGAGUUCCUGUUACUCGGUGAAACUGGUAAAAUGCUGAUUCUGAGAGGAGUUGGGACAUCAGGGAACAUCUCUCUUAAAUCACAUAGCUUUCACUACACUUUUUACGGAUACCCGAACCAAGGAGUGCCUGUCUUAUCACUUACAGUUGUUUGUGUUACUCUUGCAAUUUAGCCUGGCACCAUGUUAGAUGCUACAUAUGCUUAUUGAAUACAGCAGUUUCUACAUACUUCCUGGAGGAGAACUACUUAUCUUUCGUUUCUUUGAACCGGUAAUCUCCGAAUGCCUUGGAUGACAUCGAAUGAAGUCCAUGUCAUGGCAAUGGUUAUUAUAUGUGUUGAAUGAGGCGAAACAUUCUAACAGUCUCUUUGGCUUAUCUAUCUUCAGCUCUGGUAUAUGCUUUCAAAAACCUUAGCAGAGAAGGCAGCUUGGGAAUUCGCCAAAGAAAAUGGAAUUGACCUUGUCACGAUAAACCCAGGAUAUGUGAUCGGUCCCAUCUUGCAGCCCACUGUUAAUUUCUCCGUGGAGAUAAUACUGAACCUCCUUAAUGGUAUCACUAUCAUCUAGCCAUAAAUUAUGUUUGUUAUUAAAUCUUCGCCAUUUUAUUUCAGAGCGGCUUCGUCAAACAUUUGUGCAUACUUGUUCUCAUUACCCAAAAGACAAUCUCAAGGAGUAACUAUAGAACUAUGUUUCUGAUUGAAGACAAUCUCAGUGAAGUCGUAUGCCCUUAACCAUACUUAUGAGUUAUGGACGCAUGUGCCUCAGAAUGUCUUUCUGCAUUGGUCCAUGGAAUAGCUAUCCUUCUUUGCUAGUUAACUGAAUUUGGCAACAUGAGGUCCCGAGGCCCUUUCAUUCUAUCUACUGAAUCUGCCUUAUGUAUUUAAGGGUUUGCUUAAUUGGCUGCACAGACACACUAUUACAAUCAUUUAUGGUAGAUUUCCGCAUGCGACAUGUUUUUUAACUACUGGCAGUAGCAGCAUUCGGUACAAAGUUGUCUUGACGUUUGCAUGGGAGUAAUUGAGGCUUAUCCUGCAGGAGCUCAAACAUUUCCAAAUAAAUGCUAUAGAUUUGUUGAUGUCAGAGACGUUGCACUCGCACAUAUCCUAGCUUUUGAAAAUCAUUCAGCUCAUGGAAGAUAUUGCCUAGUAGGCGACGUCGUACACUGUCAUGAUGCCUUGAAGAUUCUCCGCAAUCUCUACCCCACUUUGCACCUCCCAGAGAAGUAAGUUAUCAUUUUUCCUUAAUUCUUAUCUUCUGUCAGAAUACUGUGCGUCCAAGAGAUUACGGUUGUUUUCGUAAUGGUGUAGAUGCGAAGAUGAGAAGCCUUUCUUGUCGAAGUAUGAGAUAUCAAGAAAGAAGGCAGAAUCUCUGGGUGUCAACUUCACUCCAUUCGAGGUGAGUCUGAGAGAUACCGUCGAAUGCCUCAAGGAAAAGGGAUUCAUCUCUAUCUAGGCACUUGCUUAGAACAGCAUGUCACGAGCUUGCUAAUAAUGACUUGUGGACCUGUGGUCUGUCCUCAGCCUUUCAGCUCCUAAAUCAUACAAUUCUUCUGAAUAAUGUAUCAUUACCCACUUUUAGAGAUAACUCUGCCAGUUUUUCCCAGCUAAUCUUACGUUAUUGAUGUUUAGUUUCUGUGUCCAAUUUGCCUGCCGAAACAACUCAUCAUAUAGAACAUCAGAUAUAAUCUUGAAGACUUUGUAAGCAAUGUCGAAAACUUGUGAGAUAAAUUGAGUUAAUGACUCAAGCUAGCGGUUAAUCCAAGAAGGCUCCUUUCUGGCCAACAUACUUGACUGCCAUUAUGUAUAAAGCCAAUAGAAAAAUGAAGGACUCACUAUGAUUGGAUAUGAAUAUCAAAGACUGAUUCUGCCAGUAACUUAUAUGACCAAAAGAUUGGUGACUCAUGAUACUCUCAAUCAACAGAGCAUUGAACAGUGUUUCUGAGCUUAACAAAACCUUGAUAAUAAUAGCUAGUAGACAAUGCGUACUGGCUGUGAUUGCCAUCCCGAUGCAAGAGAGCUUUACACGACCAAAUUGCAUCUGAACUUGCAGCACCUAAUAUGAGCGUGCACUUUCUGUCGUCAGAUGUAAUAUGUGUUAUCAAACAAUCAAUUCUUCACUUCUGAUGAAAGCAUCUGAACUGCCAUCUCAUUUCAUUUGCAUAUGCAAUGGUCUGACAGGCCUUUGUAUAACUCCCAAUGCAUUAUCCCAUCCAUAGCUUCAACACCUUAUCUUUACCACCAGAAGCAACAUUCUCACCAUCUGGAUUCCAAUCGACUGCAAAAACCUUCUCACGAGAACACCUGCUAAAGUAAGCAAGUGGUAGUCCAUGAUAAAAAUACAAACUUAAAAACUUGUCUGAUGACCAUGUUAAGGGAACAAACCUCAUCCGCAUGACCCGGAAGAUCUUGUUUCAACUUCUUCGUGCGAAUAUCCCAGAUCUAAAAGUAAGCCAAAUAUUGAGCAAACAUUUAAGCAUUCAAAUCAGGCAAAAAUUCAUAAUAAUCAUAACCGGUAAAAAGGGCAGACUCCACAUGCUAUUGAUAUUUACAAAUAGUUCAAACAGAAUUAAAACAAGCAAGAGAACAUCACUCAAGCUUCCAUACGUACUCUGCUUUACAAUAUCCUCAUCACCAUAUCUCACAAAAUAAGCAGACCUAACAUGGUCCAAUGGUUCAAAAAAUAACUUAAAUAGGCCAUUGAGAUCUCAAUGAAAACAAGUUGCACUAGAACUCAGCAACAACCAGGGGGAAAAAUCCUUAUUGCUUGCACCAUAAAUAAACUAAUUUCCUGUAACACAUUGAUAUUUUUUUCACAGAUAAUAUUACAAGCUCUCCUGUUACAAUUCUAAGUGACCACACUUGAUCUCUCUUAAAGCUGGCCCAUGACACAUGUAAGUACUUUAUGGAAAUCAUUCGAACGCUAUAUGCUUUGUGCAACUGACCUUCAGGGUAGUCUUUGCUCCCACUUAAAAGAAGUCUACUAUCUGCAGACCAACUGUGCAUUAUGUAAAUCAUGAUUAGAAAUCAUUCUUGAAUGGAUAAGACGAGCAAAUUUUGAAAAUAUCUCAAACCUUAUCUGAUAUACAGGCCGGACAUGUCCACUGAAUGCAGCAACAAACUUCCCAAUAAUACCAUUCCACAACUUCACAGAUCUAUCAAACGAAGCACUAGCCACCCAUUGCCCAUCCGGUGAAAAGUAGACAUGAUCCACAAGCUGCAAACAAAAAGCAUAAUUUCCCGCAUUUACACCUAACAAGGAUCUAAAGUAUUAGCCUCAAGAAAAUAUUAGGAGGAUGUCUCAUCCAUUGAACCAGUGCCACCAGGACCACAAUGUGGAGUACGUCCUUAUUUAGCAUCAUUAUGGCAAUUGAUAGUAUAUACUGGAGCACAAACAGUCUUCUAAAUACAGUAAAUACUUAGGGAAUCAAUCACACAGCAAAAGCAGGCAGCUGUCAAAUCAAUCUCCCUCCCUCCUCCCUCACACACGCACGCACACACAAACCUGUUGGUGAUCGGUCAUUCGUGUUUUUGGAUGCUUACCAACAGAAGGUUCCCACAAAAACAUAGUAAAAUCAUCAGAUCCAGAGACCAAUUUUUCGGGAACAUUGCCUUUCAUUUUCUUGUAACUUUCUAAUGCAACCUAUGUUCAUCAACAAAAUACAGAAGUUCAUAUGACAGUUACCAGAAAGUAGAACUACAAAUGUGCACAGACCCAAAGGCAGAGAAUCACCACAAGGGGGCAGAACAUGCACAGAGCCAGAAGACGUGCUGACUAAUGCAUACUAGGUUGUAAGAAAAUAAUGUCCAGAGAGAAAUAACCAAUGCAUACUAAGUUGCAUGAGCAAAUCAAUAUGCAGAGAGAAAUAAAUGUUUGAUUUAUUGCCUCAUGAUAUAAAGAUGAUUCCACAUAAUAACAGUUACCUACUUGCUUCAUUUCUUCAGAAGAUGAAUACUGUUUUCCAGUGUGAUCAAAAGCUACAGUUCGAAGAACAUACUCAGUGCUCAGAGCAGGGAGUUAACCCAGUGUCCAAAAUCCUACAACAAAAAUUUUAACAGAAAUAACGAUGAUUGUGAAAAAAAGAAGAGAGGGAUCUAGCAGCAACUUAGAUUAAGAAUGCGGACUUGGCAGUAGAAACUAAGAAAAGACAUAAACACGCAAGCCAUGAAAACAAAACUCUAACCUUAAUAUGCAAUUCACAUCUCAGAGACAUCGAAAAAUGGUGGUAUUUCAUUCUUAACGUCAAUAUCUCCCGAGAACUAUACAAUGAAAACAUUCAAGGACAUGAUGUCGCCAAUAGCUGGGCUAAAUAAUAUGCCCAAUUAGUAGGGGGUAGGUCACUAGGUGCCAAACUGCCUCCUGGCACCAAAGAGAUUGAGUGAAUGCAGCUACUGCAAAGGCGCAAAUAAAUAUAAAGCUAUUGUGGUGAAGAAGAAGACAGGCAUGCAAUGACCCUGCAAUCUGUAUUACAAACUUUAAAAAAGAUGUUACCUUCAAUUCCCUUAUCAGCUUCCCCUGGGAGUUUCUCAGACAUUAAUUGUACAGUCCUGGGAGCUGCAAGAAAUUUAAAAUAAUUACUUCACCAGGUAACAAGUAGUAGAAGCAGCAGCAGUUUGGCAAAGUCCAAGGAUACUCAGUAGCUUGAAAGCAGAAUUUACAAGUCCUCGCCUAAUCUGAGGCCCAUCAGAAGUAUGAUUUAGUAAAAAAAACUUCAUGUUAUUCUUUUGUUGUUCAUGUAGCACGGCACUAGCAUAUGGACAUUAAUACAUCACAAAGUGAUUAAAUAUUUAUCUCAGUGUGGAAUUGCCUCUCUUGUUCCAACUUGUCAGUGGGACAGUUAUUAAGGGUUGGCGGAUCAAGUCCUUCCAUUGAGAAUUUAGUUUGCAGCCUCAGUGAUAUUCAUUUCCGCACAACAUGAAAACUAUCGCUGACAACGUGUACUAGGAUUUGGUAAUUCAUGAUUUUAAGAUUCGAAACAUUUAACCAACACGGGCAUUAAAAGUAGCAGGAGGGCUUACAUUUAGGAAGCACAAAACCGAACCAGCCAAUGAACUUCCAAUAGCCAAAAGCGCCAAGAAGCGGAAGUCAAAGAUCACCUGCUCAGCAAUGGAGGACUACUCUUUGAACAUAGAUGCACUAAUAAAGGCAAUCAAUACGAAAGAACACACCGGUCAUGAAAGCAGAAAUAAAGAGCAACAAGGAAUUAAAAUCAAGCGCAGCUCAUUACAAGUCCAUUGCAAUAGCUUUUGCAGUUGAAAAUACAACCUUCGAUCCAUCAGGACCCUCCAGCAAUUGAGCAUAUACACCCAGUAUGUAAAACAGGCUCUCAAACAUCCAAACCCACCAAACCCAAAUCACCGAACCUCUUUCUAAUUCUCCGUAGCUGAGCAAUAAACAAACUUCCAACAACUCAGGAGCAACAAUUGUUCAAAGGAGGAGGAAACGAUCGAGCGAACGGACAAGCUAAAGAACUGAGUCGGUUCGGCUCACUUUUUAGAUGUUCGAUUCGGCGGCCUGAACGAAACCGACGAGGGGACUGCUGUUGGGACACAGACGCACGAUCAGACACAGAGACGGAGAGAGAGAUAUUUUUCAUUCAUUGUGGCGGGUAACCGUUAAUUUAUCAACGGUGGAGAUCGCAUCAGGAUGCGCACUGGGGCUUUUACUGGCAAAAGUACCAAGUGCAACUGGAGUCUGCAGACAUUUAUACGUGCCUAUCAAAAUUAGUUGCAGCCGGCUUCUCAUCCGAUCGUCAAUGUGAAUUGCACGGAAAUGUAGAGAGAUAUCGAUACUUUUCUGAAUCUAUAUAACUAAAAUUAGUCGGUAUCUAAUGGGACGAAUGUCUGUAAGUCGGUCAUAUUGAGAUUAGUAAUAUUGAACGAAAGUCAUUGACUUCAAAACUUUGGUAAAUCAUAAUCGAACAAAAAUCACUAACAUCAUCAAAAUAUUUGAUAAUCUUGCAAGUAUAAAUUUUUUUUAGUAAAUGACUGAAAUUAAUUAGAAUCUUAACGUGACAUAUGCUGGUGCACCGAUUAGAUUAAAGUCAAUAAUUUCUUAUAUAGGUCAAUGACUUCGGUAACGUUGAUAAGCCAUAUAUAUAUAAAUGUUCGGAGAUUGAUAAUUUAUCCUCCAUAAAUAAAUCUUAGAUACUUGUAAAAACUUCUUCUUAAUUACUAACAUGUGAUUGGGUAAGCAAAAAUGAACUUUUUGUUGAUAUUUGACGUACACACCUAAUAUUUGACAUACACAUCUCUAUUGCUUUGGAUACAGUUCUAUAGACAAAUAAAGAAAAUAUAGUAAUACAGCACAUGGUAGUUCAUUAUUUCUUGGCAUGACCCUGAAAGUGGAUGCUUGACCUGAUCGAGGGUUCGAGUUUUCCAGAAUAAGGAUUGAAACCCAUUUACCUCCGGUCUCAUCGCCUAUUUCUUAGAAGCUUCGCCCUCCUGUUUCCAAUCGGCAACCACCUUCUGGCAAUUCUAUCUAUAAAAUCGAAGUAUGAGUUUGCCCAAGAACCUUUGAUGUGCAAGACCACAAUUGGAACUAAUAUACCGGCAGCAUAUCCAAGGCCGACGCUCAAGUAAAACCACUGAUCAAUGAACUCAUCAUCACCGCGACUGUCCUCGAUUGUCUCUCGUUUGUCAGGUUCAUCGGCUGGACACGUGACAUUGAGGGGAGCACCGCAGAGUCCCGAGUUUCCAUAGUAUGAAGAAGGGAAUGUCAUCAUUUGUUGUGUGUAAGGAAUCUUUCUCGAGAAGUUAUUAUCAGAUAAAUUUAGAUAACUCAAAAAUGACAGCGAUGGCAUGCUUUGAGGGAUUACACCAAAAAGCCUGUUGCUUGAAAGAUCAAGGGAUAACAGUUGGCUCAUGCUCGAAAUGCUCUCAGGAAUUUCACCACCAAUGUCGUUUCUUGAUAAGUUCAGAAUGAGCAAUCCAACCAGUUUAGUCAUUUCUUUUGGAAAUUCUCCACCUAAAUUAUUUCCGGAGAUAUCUACGCUAGUGACAAGGGAAAGAGUCUUGGUGUACAGUUGGCUUUGGCUUUGCAUGGUCACUCGGCAGUUCUCUUGAUAGUAUGUGCCUCCGUAGUUCCUGUAAAAUAGGUACUCGAUUCUAGCUUGCCCUUCUACCAUUGCUUUAAGAUCUCCAAAGCUUGAAGGAAUGUUACCUGUCAAAUUGUUUUCUGCAAGAUCCAGCACUUGCAAUGAGCUUAAACUUGAGAGCUCAUGAGGAAUUUCUCCAGAAAAUGCAUUGGACCUCAAACUUAAAAUUCUUAAAUUGAUGAAACCCUCCGCCAUCCAUGCAGGUAUGGUGCCAUUCAAUUGGUUGUUGCCAAUAUCUAGCGUUUCUAAGCUGGACAGAUUCUUGAAUGAAGAUGGAAGGUCUCCUGAGAGCUUAUUGUUGCUGAGGUACAGAGACUGAAGCCCUUGUAAUUGGCCCAAAGGCGCGGCUAUCAAUCCAGAUAAAGAAUUGUUUUGUAGGUUGAGUACCUCUAGGCUUGAGCAGUUCCCUAUGCUUGGAGGAAUGCUUCCACUCAAAUUGUUGUUUGCUAAGUUGAUGACCUGAAGCCAUUGCAUUUCUCCUAUAGAUUCUGGGAGCCCACCUGUUAUUCUGUUAGAUGAAAGGGAGAGGAAGCCCAAUUCCGGCAUGUAUUUGCUUAAAUUUUGUGGAAUGCCACCUAAAAAUUGGUUGUUAGAGAGGUCUAACAAUCUAAUCUCAGAAAUGGGAAGAGGGAACGGUCCCUGAAAAAAGGUUAGAGCUGAGAUCAACAAGCGCAAGAGGAGCUGCUGGCAACGGAUUAGGUAAUUGGCCCUGCAACAGAUUUAGAGACAUGUUGAGGAGAGAGAGAUUCGAAGAAAUGUCCCAAAACCAACUUGGCACAGGCCCCGAAAUGCUGGCAUUUGAAAAAUCAAGAUAGUUGAUCUCAUUUUCAUGUCUAAGCCAGGCGGGGAAAGAUGGACCGAUCUGGCACGAUCCCAUGCCAAGACUGUGGACUUGGAACGGAGGCAUCCAGUCGGCACUGACAUUUAAAGUGAAAGAGUUGGAUGAGAGAUCUAAGGUCUUCAUUUUGCGUAGAUUUGCAAAAUGUUCUUCAGAUAGUGUACCUGACAAAUGAUUGAAAGACACGUCGAGAACAUCCAACUCAGAAAGUUGUCCCAGAUCAACGGGAAGAGUCCCAUUCAAUUGGUUCCUACCAAGGUCCAGAACGGUGAGGUUCUUCAGAGUCCCAAGAGAAGAAGGACUCGGCCCUUCAAGCAAGUUAUAGUCAAGGGUUAGUUCCUCAAGGUUUUUAAAUUGGCCCAUCCAACUUGGCAGAUAACCCCUCAGCCGAUUGUCGUUCAAUCUCAAGUACCUCAAAUUAGGCAAAGAACUCUGGGAAUAACAAGUUUCAGAUCCCCUCUGCAAAAUUUCCGGCAAACUACUUUUCAAGUUGUUGUUGGAUAAAUCAAAAUUAACUAAACUGCAAAGUGAACCGAUGGAGCUCGGUAUUCCUCCCCUGACCAGAUUCCAAGAAAGGUCAAAAUUACUGAGUGGUUAUUUUCCCAAUGGAAGUGGGAAGUAUUCCGUGUAUUUUAUUAUCAGCCAAAUCCAUAACUUCUAUCCUUUUCCAUGAUCCUUGGAACAACUGAGUACAACUUGCUGAGAAAUUAUCGUUUCCAGAUAAAAUUAGGAUUUGCAAGUGCGGUAGCUCGCCUAGACCAAGAGGGAUCCUUCCAUAUAGACCACUGAAACUCAUGUCAACACUAACAAGGCUGCUUACAUUCAAAAGCCAUUGAGGGAACUCUGAAUCGAAACUGUUGAAGCUGAGGUCUAGAGCAGCGAGUGAAGUGAAGUUCACCAAACCAGGUGAUGAUAUCAAACAAGAUAGGCGACAAUCGGACAGAUGCAACCCCGACAACGACAGAAACCCGUUUAGCACACUGAUCCACGUGGAACUAACCAUUGAGAGGUUCACUCCAUCAAGCGCAAGAUAUUUCAGAGAACCAAGACCAGAAAUCCACCCGAGAUUAUUAGUACUUAACCACUGAAAGGGAGUAGGAAGAUCAAGAUACUGCAAGUUUGACAAAUUUUCUAGAUUUGGAGGAAUUGCACCACGAAACUUGGCAAUUGGCAGGUUCAGGUACCGUAGGUUCUCCAAAGAACCAACAAAUGCAGGAACUGGUACGCCAUCAAAAUUAUUUGAGCUCAAGUCCAAGAAUCUCAGAGACUUGAGUCGCGCUAAUGAAGGUCUAAUUUCUCCACACGGUUUCCAAUAAGUAUACAUACUAGAGUAGCCACGAAGAUCAAUGCUUAUCACCCCUCCAGUCCUCUCAUCGCAGCCUAUUCCACCAGCAACAAUUGCUUCCUUGCCAUGAGGACAGGCGAUUAUAAGGAUCUUGAAGGCCAUUUUUGAAGUCAAUUAGAGCUUCCCUAUCAGACCCUGAGCAAUUCCCAGCAGGGAUAUUGCCGUCACAAGCCGAUAGCCAUGCUAAAAUGGAGAUAGAGACUAGUAUAAUGCAAAGGGAUGAAUCUCUCGCCAUCUUGAUCAAAAUAUGUAAAACUGAAGGUAGCAUUACAAGGACUAGUAACCCGGGACUAGUUUGUUUCAAAUAUUGCUUGAAAAGUCAAGUGGGAUCAGCAGGAUAAUCACGAGAUGUCCAAAGAAAGUUAAAGAGAUGUUGACUGAUUGAGUCUUUGUGAGUAAAAUAUUUAGGCGUGGAGUAUAAAAGGAUUCAAUGACUUGAAAAACUAAGGGUUAAUUCCUUGAAAAACCCCAAACUAGUACACCUAUAAUAAAUUUACUUCAAAUUAAUUUGUUGAUCACAAAAAGUCCUAAACGGGUACACUUAUGACAAAUUUACCUUAAAUGACCACAAAAAAUCCCAAACUAGUAUUUACUCUAAACUAAUUUGUUCAACUGCCAAAAAUCUCAAGCUAAUACAUUUGCGAUAAAUAUACCUUCCCUUAGAUUGAAUCAAUAUUGUAAAAACCAAAAAAAUAAUACAAUUGUAAUAAACAAAAAGUAAAUCCCAAAUUGGUACACUAGUUAACUAACACAUAUCAUCUAACUUAACAAAGAGUAAAUUUAUCAUAAGUAUACCAAUUUGAGGUAAAAUUGCCAAAGUGCACCAAUUUAGGGUUUUAGGUGGACUGACUCAGUCUUUGCAAGUCAAAUAUUUAGGCGUGGAGUAUAAAAAGGUUCAAUGACUUGAAAAAUUAACGGCAUCUAAUGUAUUUAAUUCAUUGUUUUGGGCAUUCAUGAAUUCAUUCACAUGAACUGGUCAUCUCAUUUUCGUAUCAACAUUAGAUCUUAUUUAUGAUAUUAUGCCAUCUCAUGCGUUGAUCUCGUUUCUCAACUAUUGUAUCAAGUCAGCUUUUGGAAUUGCCCUUCUUUUUUACCAACAGCAAAAAGAAUUUCUUGAUGGGCACACUUCCCGCAAGAAAAAAAAAUUCAUCUUGAAUCCAGUUAUCUUCAUUGAUGCCAAACAUGAGUGCAGGACUUGGAGAACUGAAUAGUCGUGGAAAAGAAAAGAAAGGGAUUUAGAGAAUGGUGGGAGUCUGAAAUUGAUUUGCAAUUUUCUCGCCCAUGUAUCUAUAAAUUAUUGAAACAAUUACAACUUUUUGAAAUAAAUCAUAUAAACAUUGACAAUGAAACAAUUAAAACUUUUGAAAUAAACCAUAUAAACAUUGACAAUUGAACUCAAAUAAGUGUUAGUAAUUUUGUGUAAGGUUUUAGUAGCUUGGGACCUUUAUUAAUUGGUAAGUUGCAAAAAUAAGCGUUGAUAAAUCAUUGGAACUGUUGGUAGCUGCGUAACAAUUGAAUAAUCAUUAGUAACCAUGUCAGCUAAAAGUUAAUGAUUUCACAUAAGAAUUAGGUGAUUUUUCAUUGGAGUCGGUAACUUUAACAUGCUGAUAUCCACAAAUAAAUGUUGAUGAAGUCUUAAGAUAGGUGGUGAUUUCAAAUAUCAUUAGAUGAACAUCAAUAGUUCAAUAAAAUAAGCAUUAGUAAAGCCAAAAGCAUAUGGUAACCUCAUCCACGAAAAUGCGUUAAAUCAUUCGCAAUAAUAUCGGUAAUUUGCUAUCAUGUAAUCUUAAUUCAAUGGUAACUCUAAUAAAUAAUAAUUGGUAAAUUCUUAGAACAAUUAAAAAGUUAAUAAACGAGAGUUGGAAAAUAUUUUAACAAAAUUAGUAACUUUAAUACGUUGGUCAGGCAUGUAAAUAACAUGAGUAAUCUACACAAAUAGUUUGUAAUUUAAAACAGUCAAAUUACUGACGGUCCUUUCCCAAAAUUGUUACUAACUUACUAAAAGCCAAAUUACUAUUGUACUUUCAUAUAACAGUGGGUAAUUUAUUAACAUGAUACAGGUUAAAUAAGAUGCCAGUCAGUUUAGUUGCUAAUAGGUUUGACAUUUAACAAAACUUAAAAUGAAUUAGUGGCACCGAAUAAUGUUCUGUAUAUUCAUACACGGAGCGCUGAUAAUCUGAUUGUUGGGUCUUAAUUAUGUAACCCUUCUUGAGCUUGUGGUUUGAGGGUCUUCACAGAUGAGGGCAGAUGUGGAACUGCUUGAAAAUGCGCAUAUAGUUCCAGCGACUAAUGUCCAGAACCAGACACUAUAAAAUAUCAUGGACAGCUUUCUUCAGCAAAAGAUGCUCCAAGUCUGGCCGAGACCAGUUAUCUAGAAUCGACAGAAGCAAUAAGUUAAUUAGCUUUUGUGGUGCAUCUACAUAACAAUCCAACUACCAAGAAAGUCUACCAUUCCGUGAAGCUUCCCCAGAGAGGUCAGAGAAUAGUGCCAUAGCUCAGGCAGGGGGAGAGAGAGAGAGAGAGAUGAACGUGGUGUGUGUCACCAGAGCAUCAGGCUAUAUGGCGUCAUAGUAAGUGAAACUCCUGCUCCAAAGUGGCUACACCAUCAAAGCAACCGUUCGUGACCCGAGUCAGUUCAAGACCCUUGAUUACAUUCAUGCAUGACAUCGUUUAUGGCUUCACCAGUCCAUAUCAUUACAAGAAGUUGUUCUAAUUUACAUGUAACGGGUGAUACAAAGAAGACUGUGCAUCUGCUUGCUCUAGAUGGAGCCAAGGAGAGACUUCAUCUUUGUAAGGCAGACCUACUGGAAGUAGGAUCUUUUGAGUCCAUUGUCGAUGGAUGUGAUGGUGUCUUCCACACUGCAUCACCUGUGCUUCUCACCCCCAAAGACCCCAAGGUUCUUUUGCUCUUUCAAAGGCUUGUGUCAUGGUCUCUCAAAUGUUCUUUUUUCCCUUGUUUCUUUGGAAACACGAGGUAGAAAUUAGCGCUUAAAAAUAGUGUUGCCAAACCAGUGGUUUUUUAAAUUGUAUAUCGUUUUGGCCAUAGCAAUUAAAUGCAGAAGUUGUAAUAGUCUACAUAUACGCAAAGUAGGAGCCAAUUUCAAACUAUUAGCAAGAAUUCAAUGGCAAAAUAGAAAGCUUCAACUCAAGGUUUCUGCGAGGGCAACAAAUCUAACUCUUCAGCACAAUGCAUUCAUCCAUAUUGCGGUUUCUCCAUCUCUAUAUAUGUCCUCGACUUCAAUAAGUUCAGUAGUUCAUACUUGUCUUUCCGUGUCUCAGAUGGAGCUGAUAGAUCCUGCAGGGAGGGGAAUAAUUAAUGUUCUUUCUUCUUGUGCCGAAGUCCCUACAAUCAAGAGAGUGGUGAUAACAUCUUCUAUGGCUUCAGUUGCAUUCAAUGGAAAGACUUUGACUCCUGAUGUGACAUUAGUUGAGACUUGGUUUUCUGAUCCAGUAAUCUGUCAGAUAUCAGAGGUAAUUAUACGUGACAUUCUAAAUUCACCUAAGUCGUCAGAACAUGCCAUUUUUCACCUUUCUUGCAUCAUCAAUUAAAUCUUAGAAAAUGUCAGAAAUGCAGAACGUUUUCCAUUUUUGUUUUUCCUUGGAUGAACUACAUAAAAAAAAAAUUCUACUCAGAUUUGGAUCUGUCGCAAGUUCUUCCUAGUAACUUUAGACCAUCACAGAGGAGCUAGCAUGCAUCAACUACUCAAAUUGAUUUCAUUGUGCACUUCUUGCUUUUCUGUUUCAGCUUUGGUACCCAGUUCGAAAACCUUAGCUGAAGAGCCAGCAUGGAGAUUUGGAAGAGAGAAGGGGAUCGAUUUGUUCACGAUGCAUCCUGGGUUUGUCAUAGGUCCCCUGCUACAAUCUUCGUUUAAUCUCAGCACAGAAAUGUUUCUCAAUCUCAUAAAUGGUAGUCACAAGUAACUGAUAAAUUUAUUAUAUUGUUUAUUCUGAUGAGAUUAGGAUUGUUAUAAGUAAUUCCGUAAAUAGUACUUUUACACGAUUUGUGCUCAGUAAUUUGUCCUCAACUUAACAAGCAAAUGUCAAGAGGAUAUAUAUGUUGAUUCAUUUUAUAAUGGACAAAAGAUACGCAGGAUGGAACUUAUUAAACUGAUACAGACGGUGAUACAUGUGAUGGAAUUUAAUUCAAUGAAAUACACAAAUUUAUUGGAACCAUAUUUAUAACAAGAGGAGACUUACAAGUGAAGUUGUUCCCAUCUGAUGCUGAGAUAUUUGCUGCAGGAACUCACCCUCUUCCUGGCGCAAACUAUAGAUCUGUUGACGUAAGAGACGCUGCACGUGCACACAUUCAUGCCUUUGAGUCCCCUUCCGCUAAAGGCAGGUAUUGUCUUGUUCACAAAGUCGUGCAUUCUGACGAUGCUUUCAAGAUUUUUCAAAAGCCUUCUGUGCCAACCUAUAAAAUAUCAAAUGACAAAGCCAGAAGUCUGGGCAUCCGCUUCACUCCUCUGGAGGUGAGUUUUAAGGACACUGUGGAGAGCUUGAAAGAGAAGGGUUUCUUCAAGGACUGAUGCUGCAACAGGCAACUAAAAGAAUAAAAACCAUGCCAAAGUCGAUUAGAUGGGCAUUUUCUGCUGUAAUACACUUAUGACAGAGUUUUCUUCAGGAGAUCCGAAGUUUUCUAAUUGCUCACAGAAUAUGUACAAUGCCACCUGAAGCUUACUGAAGCAGCCAUUUUCAUUGUCAGACAAAUGUUUGGCUGUUAUCUGUAUUGAGUAACUUGAAAUCCAGGAGUUCACGUUUGCAUGGUAGUGAAACUCCAGCCUCCUGUGUCAAAGGGAAAAAAAAGACAAAAUGGCAAUAAAGCCGAUGAGUUUAACAGCCAAAAUUCUACGUGUAGUAAAGGUGCAAGUGAUGCAGUCAAUUGCAUUAAACAGGAAAUGUACUGGCCUGCUUUCCCAGGGCAAAAUGCCAAUCCAAUUGAGCAACUGGCACCACAGCAUUCACCUUACCCCCUCAUUCAAGAACACAGCGGAGCAGGGAGAUCUUCUCAUGUCUCCAUAGGCUCAUAGCCCCUCAAUUGACAACAUUACAGCGAUGCGAAAUGAAAUGGCUAAGAGUGCGGUGGCGGUAAACAAGGCAAGUUUCACGCACAUAUCUGUAAGUCAAAGAAAAACAGAAGCAUGUUUCCCUGGAUCAAAGGAAGAGAUGCUUAACUUCUUAAAUUUCCAUCACCUCUCUCGGUGAGGAAAUUGCUACGGUAUAAGUGCUCGACUUCCACAAGCUAUCCCAUUUCACCGGUUGUCUUUCCCAAAUCCAAUAGCAGAUUAUAUUUAGAUUUUCAAGUCGGCAAUCAUCGAUAAAAUUAUAGUUCCACCAUCCACAAACCCGUUAAAAGAUUACCGUGUAACUUAAAAUUUUAGAAGAGGAGUUUAACUAUCUGCAAAUUACCAAUGAAAAAAAAUAUUAUCACCCAAAAACUCCAUAGUAGAUUUACCGCUUGGAAAAAGCAAUCUGUGCGGUGUCGUUGGAGUCGCAUCGGAAGCAAUAUACUUAGUCCGCCUAUACGAGACAACCAGGGAAAGAGAAAGAAGAACACACGUGUAGUACCAGGAUGACGUGGCAUAUAUAUAUAUAUAUAUAUAUAUAUAUAUAUAUCUAUGAAGCCCAACCACAACUUGACACGUGUUCAUGACCUGGACAAACAUAGAAAAAGUAAAAAUCUAGCUGGAAUUUUUCGGUCUCUUCUCCCGUCUCCUCCAUCCGCAGUCGCCGGUGUACUCGCUGGUGCUGCUUCCAGGCCGACCACUGCGGUGCAUCCAUGGCCGAGCCACCCCUCCUUCGUUGGCGGCGGCUUACAAUCGUUGCCGUCCACGGGCGAGCCAUCCACUUCGUUGCAGCUCGUCCAUUCGGUCAACGGUGGACCUGUUAAUUUGAAGGCUCACUUCUGUGGAUCUGGGGAGUCGCCCGAUCUGUUAUUUUAGAGUUUGGGAGCCCCCAGAUCUGGCGGUGGACGAAGAAGAAGAUGAUCUUGCGGUGGCUUGGCCAUGGACCAUGGCUACUGAUCUGGCGACGGACGGGUAUGGCCGCGAGCAAUGAUGAAGGGGUGGCUCGGCUCAUGGACCUCCGCACAAAUGAGCCUGACUGCAACCACCGUCGAUGGAGGAGGAAGAAGAGAGAAAAGGGGAGGCCCACGUCAUGGACAUGUGUCGAUGCGCGAUUGGAUUUUAGCACACAUUGCUUGGCACCACAUCAGCCCAUGACGCCAUGACGUGGUGUUAUGCGACCAUUCAACACUUGCUCGAGACUUUCCUUGAGUAAUGCAUGACAGACGAUCUAUAUGUCUAAUUAGAAAACUGAUCACUCACGAUCAAGAAGAGUAGGUGGUCAUUUGUCCCAUUCAAUUUUUUCUAGGAACAUAUUUAAAACAAAGAGUGAACGUAAGUCCCUCGCACAAGCCGGUCAAAUAAAUGAUCAUGACAAAGUGUCGAGGUUGAAUAUAUCCCGAAUUCAUAAAAGAGAAUUCCCACUUAUAAAUGUAUUGCAAUCAGUAUCCCUCUCAUCCCCUGUUCCAAGGAGAAGAGAGGAGCGGAGAUGAGUACAGCAGAGAAGGUGGUGUGUGUAACUGGAGCGGCCGGUUACAUAGCCUCCUGGCUUGUCAAAGUGUUGCUUCAGCGUGGCUACACGGUCAAAGCAACUGUACGCAAUCCCAGUAAGUUUUUUAUCUUUGCUCAUGCUCCGUUGUUCACAAUAUUGGAUUUCUGAAUCUUUGGUUUGUCCAAUUUAGCAGUUGAACGGUUUACUCUUACUUAGUUGGAAACUUGAAAUGUUCUAGAUAAUAUGGAAGUGGUACCAAAAUCUGUUACUCAGUUAUGAUGAGAAAACUAUUCUCUUGUAAUAUCUCUUACCUUUGCAAUUAACUCAUACAUGCAUGUGUGUACUUGUUUGUAAGGGUUUGUGUGCAUGCCUAUACAUAUACGUUAUGCUCAGGGUACGUAUGAUACAAUAGCAUCCGAGUCCACUAGCUGAAGGUAUGAAGCUCUUGUAAUAUCUGAUUCCAUUGGCUUAACUAUUCAAGUUUGCACACAAUCUUAUGCUACCUCUAUAGUUAGAUCCAAUGCAUAGCGUACAUUAGAAAUUUAUAUUUGUGGUCUUCUUAUCUAUUGAUAACAUUUCGUGUUAAGUGACCAAAAGCUCCCAGAGUUUCAUUCCAUCAAAUCAAAUUCUCCUUUUUUGAAUGCAUAAGCAGGUGAUCCAAAGAAGACACAGCACCUUCUGGAACUUGGAGGGGCUAAGGAGAGACUACAUAUCUUCAAAGGAGAAUUGCAGGAGGAAGGGUCUUUUGACUCAAUAGUUGAUGGGUGCGAGGCUGUCUUUCAUACAGCAUCACCGGUUUUUUUCUCAGCUUCCAACCCUGAGGUAUCUGCAUAUUGCAGUUGUACAUCAUGAUUUCAUGGAUUUGUUAAAUGUAAAGCAUCACAUCUUUCAAAUUCUAGUUCUUUUUCCCUUGUCGUCUGGUGCAGUUUAUCAGACGGCAAAUGAUCUAACAUUUCUUGGAUGAUUCGACAAAACCAUUCUAAUCAGAUUCCUUUCCUUACAUGCCGCAGGCUGAAAUAGUCAAUCCUGCAGUUGAAGGUACCCUAAAUGUUCUCAGAUCAUGUGCAAAGGUCCCUUCUAUCAAGAGAGUGGUUUUGACAUCCUCCAUGGCUGCGGUUGUGUGCAAUGGGAAGCCUUUGACCUCUGAUGUGGUAGUUGAUGAGACAUGGUUCUCCGAUCCAGCAUUCUGUAAGGAAUCAAAGGUCUGUAAGUAAGCUGGCUUUUGACAGUAGAAUCUCUUUUGCUUGGUCUGUGAUGCCCCAUCAACUGGAUGAAUUUUUCCAAUAAAAAAUCGUCAAUAGAUUUGAUUUUGGCUAGUAUUCAAGCUUGAUUCGUGUUAAUUUAAUUGAAUACUUGAGGCUGAACAUAGCUUAAUCUUAGUGGCCAAGCAGUCAAGAGGUAUCAUCUUCCUUGCCUUAAUGGUUUUUCCAUCCACCUAUCUGUUUAAGCCCUCAACCUUCAAGCAUGUUCGUUUGUUUGCCCAUAUUUGGCCAAUGUAAGAUACACAAGUUGGGUGCUUUGCCUCACUGAAUACCUCUAUAUGACAAUUAGAUUUUUGUGAUGGACAACUUUUAAAGAAUUUCUUUUCUAGUGCUCCUCAUCCAUUGCUUUGAAAUGUCAAACAAGGCAGAGCAAAUUCAGUGUCAUGUCGAUGAUGAUCACAUCCAUCAGUGGUGCGAGCUCUUUCACUCUUUCAUCGCCUGACUUCGGUUUAAUUAUUUUCAGCUUUGGUAUGUGCUAUCUAAAACCUUAGCAGAGAAGGCAGCUUGGGAUUUUGCAAGAGAGAAUAGGAUGGACCUGGUCGUGAUAAACCCUGGACAUGUGAUUGGCCCUCUCUUGCAGUCUACCAUCAAUCUCUCUAUGGAGAUGAUACUGAACCUCGUCAAUGGUAUUACUUAAAAGUCAAUGCUUGACAUGUCUAUUAUCAUUGUGUCAGCAUUUUGGAUCUCAUUUUUUGUCUGAUAUUGACCAUUGAUAUUUUGCAAAUGACUAAGGACCUGUCGCCAAAUUUCUCCGCAAGAUAGAGAUGCAACUGCACAUGGAAACUUAUUUUCCUGCCAAAGUGCACUCUGCUCCUGUGAUUACAGAGAGAAUGAUUUGAGGCUUAUACAAUGCAGGAGCUCAAACAUUUCCCAACAUCUCUUACAAAUUUGUUGAUGUCAGAGAUGUGGCCCAUGCACAUAUUCUAGCUCUUGAAAAUCCUUCAGCUAGCGGCAGAUAUUGUAUGGCAGGAGAGGCAAUACAUUGUCAAGGCGUUUUGAAGAUCCUGCACGACUUUUAUCCUACACUGCACCUCCCUGAAAAGUAAGCCCCCAUAUUUCUUCAAUUUCUAAAGAGAAGAGUUACAUUUUAUGAGCAUCCCUAGAAGGAAUCCUAUCUACUGAACAUUGACAUUAUUAAAGGUGCAUGAAUCAUUGUUGAUGCAGAUGUGAAAAUGACAAACCAUACGAGUCGGCUCCUCGGGUGUCAAUCAAGGGAGCAGAUUGAAGGUCUGGGUGUGAAGUUCAUUCCUUCGGAGGUCAGUCUAAGAGACACUGUGGAAAGCCUCAAGGAGAAAGGCUUCCUCUCUGUUUGAGUUUCCUGACAAGUGACAAGGAAAACCCUAUACUCCAAAGGCAUAUAUAUGGUUUCCACGAACUUAUAGUCAUAAAAAGUUUCUGCAUAAAUUUAACGCUUCCCUUUUAUUAGACUCCAUUGAAGCAUGCAUAAUGUCUUAGAGUCACUUGCUCAGUGUAAAUUUAAACUUGAAAGCUGAUUAUGAACGUUGUUUAUUGGAGUAGUUUUCUGCUUUUGCCACUGAUUUCUAUUCCUGGCUUCAUGUGCGACUACUUUUAACAACCUGAGGUUUUGUAUGUAAGUUGAGGUGAAGCAAUGCCCAGUGUUUGUUCUGGGGCAGAAAGGCAACCUCUAACAUGGAUAAUGAGGAAUCCUGAGAACCAUUCAUAGUUAGACAAAAAUCCAAAAGAAUGGCUGGGAAAAUAAAUUAUUGAUUAUUCCCAUAUUCUUUUGGAGAUUCUCAUUAAUCAACUCCUACAACGGAUCAAAUGAUGAAUGACUAAUAAUAGGGCCACUAAUCUCUAUACUAAUUUCUGGCCGCUGCUCCACCAUAAUCGAUCACAGUAAAGCUGCACUUUAGUUUCUGGCGUGGUGCACAAUGAUCAAAUUUAAUUUUAUUGAAGGCCCUGACACCAGGAUUCGGGUAAUUUGCUUUAAUAUCAAAAUUUUAAUAUAAAGGGCAUCCCAGUGCACAAGGCUAUACUGAUUUGCAACUCAUCGUCUCUUUCCAUCUUUCUGAAGUUACCAUACUUACUUUCCCAUUUCUUGAAUUGAAAUGAACAAAACUUUCCAUAUAGAACUUUACGCAACACAUACGUACUGAUCCUCACUCUCACCAAACGCAAACAGAAGACCAGUGCGAACCAGAUCAAAUCUGUUGGCUUUUAAUUGGGUAAAGUUGAUCAUUGCCAUUCAAGAUGAAACAGCUCCUAUGAUUGUGAAUUAAAUAUCAACUUGAUGCAGGACUUAGCUUUCUUUUCUUUUCUUUUCUUUUUCUUUUUUUUUGUGCCCCUGAAAAGCAAUCUUAUAUAGCUCAUCUUUUCCUUUGGUAAAAGAAGAAAACAUCUUCAUGAAAUUGACUUGCAUUGAGCCAUGCAACGCUUGACAUAUGAAUAAGAGUUGGGGAUUCAUCAAAGUUUCCUCAUCUAGCUUUUGUGGAAAAAUAAAAGAAUUUGUCAAUGCCUCAUACAAGAUUGUUAGACUAACAAAUUUGAAACACUUGCAGAACUAAAGAUUUUCUAAACUUAGUAAAGAGAAUCUUUUUUGCCUUUAAUAUGAAUUGCUCUCCGCAUACUCUCUUCCAAGCCCCUGUUCAAGAUUCAAUGCCAAAAAGAGGAGUAGAGGAUGGAUGAGUACCACAACAAAGGUCGGAUGCAUAACUGAAGUGUCCGGUUACAUAGCAUCCUGGCUUGUCAAGUUGUUGCUCCACCUUGACUAUAUGGUGAAAGCAACUGUUUGCAAUCCCAAUAAGUUUAUGCAACUUUAUGUUCAUGCUCUAAUCUUCAGAAUCUUGAACCUUUUGAAUAUUCAGUCUGUUCAUUUUAGUAUUAGUAUGGUUUGCAAUUUCUUAGUUGAAACAUUUUAGACGAUACAAAAUGUGUAACAAAAUCUUCAUAACAUGAAUCUGUUCUUUCCUAAUCAUCUCUUACCUUUUGGAUAAACUCAGACAUGUAAUAUCCAAGUGUUAUUUGUGGGCAGUUGUGUGCACGCGUAUGCAUAUGCCUGCUUGCCUUUGGGGUUUCAGGUUGCCUAUUACAUUAAGUCGUCCAGAUUUAAUUGCCUGAAAAUUAGAUCUCUUGCAGUACGAUCAUAUGUGACCACUUGAGCAAAUCAAAUACAGAGCCAACAUCAUAACUUGAUAAUUGCAGUCUAGUGACUGAGAGUUACAGCAAUUUGGAUCAGCCAAAUUAAAUCUUGUUCUUGCAUGUGCAAUUAAACUUAUGAUUCAAAGAAGACAUGAUUUCUUCUAGCCCUCAAAGGGGCUAAGGAGAGAGUACAUUUAUUUAAAGCAGAAUUGCUGGAAGAAGUGUAAUUCGACUUGAUAGUUGAUGGGUGCGAAGCUGUUUUAUAUACAGCAUCACCGGUGAUUUUCUCAGUGGCUGACCCCCGGGCGUCUGUAUCUUGCUGUUAUCCGUCAUUUCUCUACAUCUUCAGUAUUGUAUCUGCAAAAUUCUAGUUCGUUUCAACUUGUCCUUUGUAUGUGCAGUUAAUCAAAUGGCAAAUGAUAUAAUAUUUCUAAGGUAAUUCAACAUAAAUUUAUCUGAUGGGCUUCUAAUCUUAUUACCGACUGAAAUAGUAGAUACUGCAGCCAGGGGGACCCUAAAUGUUCUCAAAUCAUGUGCAAAAGUCCCUUCAAUCAAGAGAGUGGUUGUGACAUUCUCCAUGGCCUCGCUUGUCUGCAGUAGAAAAUUCCUGACCUCUUUGGUAAUUGAUGAGACAGGGUCUCCGAUCCGGUUUUAUGUGAGGAACCGAAGGCCAGUAAGUAGACUGUUCUUUUCGACAUUGUUGGUCUCUUUUGCUUGGUCUGUCAUACCCUACACGAUCUUCAACACUUUUUUUUUCCUAGUUGGAAAAUUGCCAACAUAUUGAUUUUUACAUGAUUUGGAACACGAGCUGAUGCUAUAAAAUAUCGACGCCAAACAUAUUCACUCGAUGGCUUGAAUUGAAUCACUGUAGUGCCGAGCGGUCGAGAAAUGCUUCUCCCUUGCCUUAAGGGUGUGUUGUUUACCUAUUUGAUUAAAUCCUCAACCUUCUUGCAUAUGAACGUGCUCCCAUGUAUUAUUCUGAUAUAGGCACAUAACUAAAAAGGUUCUCAUUAUUUAAGACCUCUGUACGACCCUAAAAUUUUAGUUACCCAUAUCUCUUUAAGUGGUAGUUCUAGAAUCCCAGAUGAGGCAGCAUCGUCAAGUUGACGUCGGUUAUUUUUGUGAUAAGCGCAUGAGUUCUUUCCUUGCAUUAAUAUGGUCUUUCUAUUUUCAGCUUUGGUAUGUGCUUUCUAAAACCUUAGCAGAGGUGCCGGCUUGAAAUUGCUAAAGAGCACAAAGAUUGACCCGUCAUGAUAAAGUCAGGACACGUGAUUUGUCCUCGAUUAGAACUGGAUAACUUCAUGCCAUACGUGACUGUGACAUUAUAGGCAUAUAUGCACUACUAAGAUUUAUCCUCUACAACAACCUACAAGUGAUUGGCAUUCACAGUUUUGUUUUCUGCUUAUAGGUUUACAUUUUUAAGUCAGUUAUCUUGGUAGUGCUCUCACUUGAGCACUCUUAAUAAUGUGAGUUUCAAUGCUAAACGUUCUCAUUUGGGUAAAGUUACCAAUAAUUCUAUUUACAGUUCUGUUCGUUCCUGCCCGUGCGAGACCCCGGUAAACUUGACUGCCGCUCCUUAUCCUGGCCUCCUUUGAUCAGACCUGAUCUUUACAGGGUCACCAUCUUUAUAGAAGGCACGGCCACCAGGAUAAGGGUACGCUGCUUAUCUCUCACCCAUCGCUCACAGAAGAUCAGUGCGAAUUGCAAAAUUUAGCUGCUAAUUAGAGAAGAAGAAGAAGAAGAUGAGCACGAGAGAGGAGAAGCAGAAAGUGGUGUGUGUGACUGGAGGGGCAGGUUACAUAGCUUCUUGGGUGGUCAAGCUCUUGCUUCAGCGUGGCUACACUGUUAAAGCCACCAUGCGAGACCCAAGUAAGCUUGCCAUCUCUAUUCUCUCGAUAUCUUCUCUAUCAGUGUUUUCGUGCUCCUGCGCCCUUCAAAUUACGGAUAAAACCAUGCGGUGGAAACGGCUAGAAUCGUCCUCGAUGAAAUAAAUGUUAUCGGGACCCAUUAUUUUUUUUCAGUUAUAUUUCUUUUCUUGGUAAUUCUAUUUAAUGUUUUCUACGAGAUACUAGGCCAUGUUUCAUCCAUUGGGACACCAUGUAGAUUUCACUAAGUAUGCGGGGCGCCUUAUUGAAAUUUUAGAGUCUAAAGCUCUUGAUUUCUUCAUUCUCAUUUCGGCACUACGAAAACACAAUCUAGCAGCUAAAAUCUACCAUUAGAUCUCCACGAAUCAACUAAAUGAUGCAAGUAAAGUCAUUAAUUACCUCUUGAGCCAGAGCAAGUUCAUCCAAGAAUGAUGUAACUUAUCUUUUUCUGCCCAUUUGGCCAUAGAUGAAGCGAUUUUAAUAGUAUGUCAAUGAGGGUGACCACUAGAAUUCUGGAUUCCAACCCCUUAAAUGAGUAAUUUUCAUUCUUGUUUGUGUGUUACAGAUGACCCAAAGAAGACAGAACACCUUCUGGCACUUGAAGGGGCUAAGGAGAGACUGCAAUUAUUUAAAGCGGACUUGCUGGAAGAAGGGUCCUUUGACUCAGUAGUCAAUGGGUGCAUAGGCGUUUUUCAUACUGCAUCACCUGUCUUGCUCUCAGUUGCUGACCCCCAGGUACUUGUAUCUUGUCGGUUCAGUCAUCCUUCGUGCCUUAUACUCGUCUCUGUUGCAAUGUUGUCCUUGGCUUUUACAUAACCUGCUUACAUUUCACUCCAUUCCAUUAUCCAUGUAUAGGGGACUUCUCUAAUGAUCUUGCUUGUGCUCCAGCAAUCAGUUUCUAGUGAUCCGACACAAGGAGUUUCAAUUUUUUCUGAUAGUUCCGAUAGGUUCUGUUCUGAAUGAUUUUGUUUUCUCUUGCUUAAUUUAGGCUGAAUUAAUUGAUCCUGCCCUAAAAGGCACCCUUAAUGUUUUGCGGUCAUGUGCCAAAGUCUCUUCUAUCAAGAGAGUGGUGGUGACAUCUUCUAUUGCUACAGUCUCAUAUAUUGCAAAGCCUCUGAUGUCUGGUGAUCUAGUUGAUGAGACUUGGUUUUCAGAUCCAGACUUUUGUGAGAAAUCUAAGGUUGGUUGUCUGUAAUUUCUUCACAAUACUGGUAAUCUUGGAAUUCCUUUGAUUAUGUUUUGAUUAUGUUGAACCCAGUCCAUGUCGUGUCAAAGGUAACUGAGCUGAGGCAAAAGAUACUUAACAUUAUAAGUUUGGUUUUUCCUUGUUCAGCUUUGGUAUGUUCUCUCAAAAAUCUUGGCAGAGAAGGCGGCCUGGGAAUCGGCAAAGGAGAAUGAGAUUGACUUGGUCACGAUUAACCCAGGAAUUGUCAUUGGCCCUUUGCUGCAGCCCACUGUUAAUCUCAGUGUGGAGAUGAUACUGAACUUUGUUAAUGGUAUGGAUGUAUGACUAUUUUGCUAUUCCGCGUGGACUUACUCCUUUUUGGUUCUUGAAAAGUUAGUCUGAUGAUCCUAUGUUCAAAUUCUUAUGACUCUGGCAAAUAGUCUGAUCCAUGAUAGGUACGUCUGGUUUGCAAUUAAAGUAGGAGGGCAGUUGCGCUUUACAUAUUACACAAUACACAUGGUGCAUGUGUCUUCUUACAUAUAAACUAAUGGCAUUCAUUGAUGAGACCUUUUCCCACGCAUUUUGAUUGUAAGUUUCCAAGUCUGGAACAGAGAAAUGAAAAUUCUGAUAAGUAUCCGCUAUAAAUUGUAUGUCGAUGUCGAAAAUAACUUAACGCUUAUCGUGCAGGAGCUCAAACAUUUCCAAAUGAAUGUUAUUGUUUUGCCGAUGUCAGAGAUGUAGCGAAUGCACAUGUUCUAGCUUUUGAAAAUCCCUCAGCUUGCGGAAGAUACUGUGUAGUAGGAGAAGUCAUGCAUUGUCAUGACGCCUUGAAAAUUUUGCAGAAUCUGUACCCAACAUUGCACCUUCCUGAUAAGUAAGUUCUUUUUUCUGUAAUUACUCUUCCUUAUUUCCAACUCGUCUGCUGCUUGACUGUGGGCCAUUCAAAACAGCCUGUGAAGGAUUAGCACGCUUUUUUCCUCUGAGAAAAUACAUGAUGGGCCUUGUUGGUUGGAACGAAGUAGAGGGACUGCACUGAUUACGAUGAAAUUGGAGAUUUAAUAGCAAUAAACUUACUGAGGUCAUUGAAUAUCAGUUCAGGACUGACAAGAAAAAUUUGCAGCUUCAGGACAUUCCAUACAAGGUAAUUAAAUGUAACAUGGACUACAUAGUGAUUCAAAGCAUCGGAAGGAAUCUUCGUGUUCGUUUAUUAGUCUGUUCAAUAGAAAAAUGUGCGACAAGGUCAAACUUGGAGUAUCACCAGUUUAACUAAGUGAACAUUCAACGCCCAUUUAUAUCACAAGACCUUGAUCGUAACAUUCUUGAUCAGUUACUACCAAUUUCAAAAGUGGGUGUAAAUGCCAUCUUGUUUGUUUAGUAACAAAAGCCCGUCUGAGACAGCCACUGGAUUCCAUGUGACUGAUCUUCUCAAGAUGUCUAGGAGAAUCACACUUUGUUUGUCCAAUGAUGCAGAUGCGAAGAUGACAAACCUUUCGCACCGAAGUAUGAAUACUCAAGAGAGAAGGCGGAAGCUCUGGGUGUCGAAUUCACUCCUUUAGAGAUCAGUCUAAGAGACACCAUUGAAUCUUUACGGGAGAAGGGGUUCAUCUCGGUCUAGGCACCUGCUUAAAAACAGCACGACACUAGCUGAUAAUUCGGGGUUCCUUGCUUUACGAAACAAGUUUUACCGGUUGAAGUUUCUUCACGCGAUUUGUAGUCCGAUAUGACUUACAACUAGAAGUGUACAUUAUCUGCAGAAAUCUCUAAAGACCUGCAUCUUCUUGGGGUAAUAUUGCGAAUGAACAAGUUGAGCUAGCAUUUUAUUGGACGCCCUCAUCUCCGGUGUACUCCAUUAGACGCUACGUGGAAGAAAAAGAUGAUACAUACCAUUUAAAACCAGAUCAGAUACUCAGAAACCAAGGAUUUACAAAGGAAAUGAAGUAUUUCUUUUCCACGAGAAAGACAUAUGGGAAGACGAGAGAAAAUUGAAGAGAGGAAUCCAUUGGCCAAGGACAAAGGGAGAUUCCGCACCACUCGCUCCACGUUUGCCUCGUCCUUGUUAUGAAUCUUGCCGAGAAACGCGCAUGGCAACGCUGAAAGUAGUAUUCCUUUUGCUUGCCUUCCUUUUGAAAACAUUGUGUUGUUUCCUUAUUUAGUACAUAACCUUUUAUGUGUUUCAUUAGUGUUAUAAAACUUGUUGCGCAGAAUUCUAAUAUUUCGUUGCCAAAUAAAAAACAACUUUCCAUGCAUGGUGAUCUUAUGAUAUGAUUAGUGAUCUUUAUAUCUUAUUGUAAAGUAGUGUAACCGACUGUUUGUUGGUCAAAUGCACUAACGGUGAUUUACCAAAAUGUUGACAAUUUACCAAUAAUAAAUACAAUAAUACAUUAUCAACCUUCUCUUUUUUUUCACUAGGUUAUCACUCUAAACAAAAAAUUCAAAUGCGAAAUUAGUGACUUCCUACUGAAAUUGCAAGGUAGUAAGUUCCUAGCAGAGUGAAGAAUUUAUUGACUUCAAAUGAAAUGCAAGUUAUCAUUAUUUUGACGAGCUCGCCGGGCCUCGCCAAUAGGUCAAUAACUAUUGGGUCACAAAUGUAAAACUUAGCCCGCUUUUACCAUAGCAAGUUAUCAUCUUAGAAAUUUUCCGCUUAGUAGAUGGAUCCGCUUGUAAAAUUUGAAAGUAUUUGAUAAUUCAUUAGUUGAUACGAGUCAUGACAUCAUUAUUGAAACGAAUAAUAGUUUAUUACAUGGGGCUAAAUUGAAACAAAUCUUUUCUGUAGGCAUGGCAUCCGAAGACAUUUCCUUGAAACGUAGCUGUCUUAGACAAGUUGCCUUUGAGUCAGGCAUGACACAAGUGAUCGGAUAUUUCUAUCGGCGCCCAACCCCUGUGGUCUAGAAUAGGUGAUCGUUCAAAGUUUCUCCAUCUAUCUUCUCUGAUUGAAGGAUUUAAGUUGGCGAGACAUGUGAAGGUUGAAAAUUAUUCAAGUUGAACAUUAUCUGAAAGCAAUCAUAGAUGAUUUUUUUCCUUAUAUAUACCAGUAGAAGAUUCAGCUCCAAGGAUAGGAGAGGAGAGGGAAAAUGAGCACGACAGAGAAGGUGGUUUGUGUAACCGGAGGGGCUGGUUACAUAGCAUCAUGGCUCAUCAACUUGCUGCUUCACAGGGGCUAUACAGUCAAAGCGACCAUCCGCAACACCAGUAAGUUCAUCGUUUCAUCUUCGUGUCUUGUUCUUAAUUUUUUUUUUUUUUUUUUUUGGAUUCUUGGGUGGUGCACUCUAUUCUUAGAGAAUGAUUCACAGUUUCUUAGUCGAAUCAUUCGGAUGCAUGGACUUUGUACCAAAUUCCGUUUUUAUCAGAAAGUGUGCUUUUCUAAUCGUCUCUUCCCAUUUCGAUUCACUCGCAUAUGCGUGUAUUUAUUUGGAAGUGCAUAAGUGCAUGUGUACGCAUAUACUGAUUUGUCUAUGUGCUUUUGGAGCUAUGGCAAUAUAACAUGUUCGAGUUCGCUGCCUAAAGAAUUAAUCCCUUGCAAUAUUCGAAUCCAUUAUGUCUUAAUCCUGGUUUUUUAUAGAUGUGGAUAUGUUGCAACUCAGGUCAAGAUCAAGUACUAGCAUGUUUCAUGAUUCAUAACUUGAUGUCAUUCUAUAUGAAGGAACUUAGAUUGUGAUCUAUCAGAUCUAAUUCUGCAUUCUGGCAUGUGUAUAUAAGCAGAUGAUUCACAGAAGACACAACAUCUUCUGGCACUUGGAGGGGCCAAGGAGAGGCUCCAUUUGUUUAAAGCAGAUUUGCUAGAAGAAGGGUCCUUUGACUCGAUACUCGAUGGGUGCGGAGCUGUUUUUCAUACAGCAUCACCUGUGGUUUUCUCGGCUUCGGAUCCCCAGGUGUCUGCACAUAUCAGUUCCUUCCGCUUUGUACUGUAGAUUCAUACGAUAGAUGAUCUGAUAUUACUUGGGUGAUUUGGCAAAAUCGUACUGAUGACCUCCUUCAUGUUGCAGGCUGAAAUAGUGGAUCCAGCUGUCAGAGGCACCUCAAACGUUCUCAAAUCAUGUGCAAAAGUCCCUUCUAUCAACCGAGUGGUAGUGACCUCCUCCAUGGCUGCAGUAGUGUUCAAUGGAAAACCUCUGACCUCUGGUGUGGUGGUUGAUGAAACAUGGUUCUCUGAUCCGGUUUUCUGCGAGGAAUCAAAGGUAGUAAGAUGCUUUUCUUGAUAUUGUUGGUCUCUUUUGCUUGGUCCGCUGUCUGUGAGUUCGUUCAUCGCAUUGUUGUGUCUGCUAUUUUCAGCUUUGGUAUGUGCUCUCCAAAACCUUGGCGGAGAAGGCUGCUUGGGAAUUUGCUAAAGAGAAGAGGAUCGACCUGGUCGUGAUGAACCCAGGACAUGUGAUUGGAACCUUUUGCAGCCUACAGUCAAUCUCUCGGUGGAAUUGAUAUUGAACUUUGUCAACGGUAUUACUUGAUGGUUUCUAUGUCACACGUACUAUUUUUCAUGAGAUGAUUCAUUCUUUUACACAUCAUGUCAGCAUUUGGCAUCUCUUUUAAAUUCUGAGAUUGACCAUGGGAGGGUUGAUUCAGUGUCAUAAUUGCAUAAUUACAUGCAGUCGAUUUCCAUGUGCAAGAAAAAACACGGUUGCUCAAGGAAAUUGAUUUUUGAUUAAAAAUGGCGUUAGCAGUGGGAAUAAUCGAUACAUGUAUGAUGUAGGAACUGAAGAAUUUCCCAAUGCAUCCUACGGAUUUGUUGAUGUCCAAGACGUCGCACUAGCACAUAUUCAAGCUCUCGAAAACCCUUCAGCCAGCGGCAGAUAUUGCGUAGUUGGAGGAGUAAUGCACUAUCCGGACAUGUCGAAGAUCUUGCACCAUCUCUAUCCCACAUUGCGCCUCCCAGAAAAGUAAGUUCCCGUUUUUGUUCAACUCCAUAGAUUAAAAGGUAACUUUUUUUCUCUUAAGAGCAAGUCGAGAAAUGGUCUUAUGGCGAGCAUAUACACUAACGUUAACCGAUGCUGCACGAAUCAUGCAUUUUGAACACAGAUGUGAAGACAACAAGCCUGCUGUGGCGGCUCAUCGGAUAUCAAGGGAAAAAGUAGAAGGUUUGGGUGUGAAUUUCAUACCUCUGGAGGUUAGCAUAAAAGAUACUGUUGAAAGCCUCAAGUAGAAAACUUUCCUCUCUUUUUGAGCUUUUUCUUCGGAGGUCGGCCUAAGUGACAUCAUUGGAGCCUCAAGGGCGAAGGCGGAAUCUCUCUAUUUGAGCUAGCUUUUCUCGAUCGACAACGCUGACCUCAUAGUCAUACUUAAAAGGUUGUUGAUAACGUAUUGUAUAUUUCAUAUAGUUAUCGUGGUCGGACCAUGUAUGGUCUCUUACUCUUGUUGAAUAGAGCAUUCCAUCUCUAAACUUGAAAGACGAUGCAAUGCUGAAUGUCUAUCCUAUAGUUAUUGUAUGCGAAUUUGCUUUAAUAUUCAAUAACAAUAUUAGGAUAAUCGAGUGUGAUAAUAUUGAAAAUAAUUUAUUGAAAAAAUCAAGAGAAUUGAAGGGCUCAAUAUAUUCAAGAAAAAGUCCAACCAAAAAAAAAACAUAAAUUAAGGGAUCAAAUAUGGUUUAUCCCAAAUCAAGAAUUAGAUAAGUACAACUACUCAGGGUGCGUUUGGCUGGCACCUAUUUCUGUUCCCAGGAACAGAAAUUUCUGUUUUUUUGUUCCUGGGAACAAAAAAGGAACAGAAACGCGUUUGGGUGCGUUUCUGUUCCUUUUUGUUCUUUUGUUCCCAGAAACAAAAAGGGAACAGAAAUAAGAAACAAAAAAUUCUUGUUUCUUAUUUCUGAAACAUAUUUGAGGAACAAAAAAGAAACAAAAUGGUGUUCUCUUGCGACCCUCUCCUCCUGCAAGCGUCUCCACCGUCGUCUUCUCCGGCGCCUCCCACUCUCCGGCGCCGACAGCCGCCUCUGUCUUGAGACCAUCCGGCUUCUCCACCAUCGACCUCUCCGGCACCGACAGCCGCUGCAAGCGUCUCCACCUGUGAGCGAGUGACGUAGCUGGGUCGUGGGUCGCUGGGCGGCGACGGUGGCUGCGGUGCUGGGCUCGGCCGUGGGGUCUCGAGCGGCGGACGUCUACGAGCAGAGCGGCGAGGACUGCCGGUCGAGUCGUGGGCCGGCGCGAGGUCAACGAUCGAGCGGAUCUCGAAGUCGUGGGUCACGGUGCGGUGAGAUCUGAUGCGGCGGUGGCGAACGAAGGCUCGAGACCUGCAGAUGCGUCGAUCGGGCGUGAGGCGGAGGGGCGGUCGCCGAUGCGGUGGCGGCGAGGAGGCGUCGAGCGCGGUCGCCAAUGCGGUGGAGGGAGACGACGGUGUGGCUCUAGGUCACCGUCGGCACGGCGCGGCGAGGCCGACCUCGCGCCUGGCUGGGCGAGCUCGAUCUCGCCCAGAUCCGGCGAGGCCGAGCUCGCCCAGCGGCCGGCGAGCCUCGUCGUGGCUGGGCGAGGCCGCCGGCGACCGGCCAAAAGAAGAAAAAAGGAAAAAGCAAAAAGGAAAAAGGAAAAAGAAAAAAAGGAAAAAUAAAUAAGAAAAAUAAGAAAGAAAAUAGAAAAUAAAAAUAAAAAUAUUAAAAAAUUAAAAGAAAUAAAAAAAUUAUACAAACUUACCCAAUGUGUUUCUGUUCUUUUUAUAUUUCUAAAAUGAAUUUACCAAACGCAUUUUUUUGUUUAAAAAUUGUUCCUUAGAAUAGAAACACUUUUUUUUUAUUUCUGUUCCCAGAAAUAAUUUUUAAACAGAAACGUUACCAAACGCACUUUUAAUAUCUCAAAGCUUAAAGUAAAGCUACUCAAGAGGAGUUGGAAGAGUUCCUCUUGAACUUGGGCGCCGCCCCAGGACAAUGGAAAGCGAUACGAACCUUUCGGCUCAAAGAAAAGUCGAAACGAAAUGUAAUUAUUACCAAGUAAUGUCACGUACGUAAUGGCUUACGAGUUGCGAGAAGGCGUCUAUCGUCAACCAGGAGCGACAAAAAAUGGGUUUGGAUUAUCUUUAAAGAUUCGGCAGAACAUCGGGCUCUUUAUAAUAUAAUAAGGUCCAUCUGCUGCUCCGCCACCCACUCCAGCACUCGUUCACUCUCUCCCCCGAACCACGAGAGAGGAGACCAGCGCGCGCGCGAACUCCACACGGUUCAGGUGCCAAGAACGGAGGAGAUGAGUGGAGCAGAGAAGGUGGUGGGCGUGAUCGGAGGGUCGGGUUACAUAGCUUCUUGGCUGGUCAAGCUCUUGCUCCUCCGUGGCUACACUGUUCGAGCCACUGUCCGAGACCCAUGUAAGAAAAAUGUUCCCUUUCUUUAUACUCUCUCUCUCUCUCUGCUCUGCUGUUGGAAGAAAAAAAACAGAGCUGUUGAAAUCCGAUAACCCACAUGAAGUUGUGUCCAAACCCUUUGUCAGAGUGAAACCAUCAAAGCUAUUUUUUUCUCUGAGAGAUAGAAGAAUUUUGGUAGCUUCAUUAGUUUUGUGUUGUAGAUUGCCCUCUAAUAUAUGUAUCUAUCCAAUAAAGUUCAAAUCUUUUGCAUCCUGUUCGACUUUGUUGAAGAAGUGGCACGCUCAAACCAUCGUCUAGAUUCCGGAUUCUUGAUUUAUUUAUUUUCAGUAUCAGUUUUGCGCAAGUUUCUCCGGGAACAAUACGGCUCUUCUUGUCCCGCCUAUGCCCUUUCUGAUUGUAGAUGCUACUGAUGUGUCGGUGAGGGUGCUUGCAAGUUUUAGAAUUUCAAUCAGUUAAAUGGAGAAUUUUUCUCAUUCUUGUGCAUGUGCGACAGCCGACCCAAAGAAGACAGGACACCUUCUGGCACUGGAGGGGGCAAAGGAGAGGCUGCAUUUAUUCAAAGCAGAAUUGCUGGAAGAAGGGUCCUUUGACUCGGUAGUCGAUGGAUGCGAAUGUGUUUUUCACACUGCAUCGCCUGUUUUGUUCUCAGCUGCUGACCCCCAGGUGCUUGAAUCUUGCCACGUUAAUCAUCCAACGUUGUCCUUGUUUUCCUAAAUAAGUAGAUAGCUCAUGGACAAACCAUUCCAUUCCAUGUGGAAGGGGAUUUGCUUUUCUUCUGCCACAAUGAGUUCAGUUUCGGUUUUCUGAUACUUUAUGAGAAUUUUACCGAAUGAUUUCUUCUAUUGCAUGACUCAGGCUGAAUUGAUUGAUCCUGCCCUAAAAGGCACCCUUAAUGUUCUAAGAUCAUGCGCCAAAGCCUCUUCUAUCAAGAGAGUAGUUGUGACGUCCUCUAUGACUGCAGUUUUAUUCAGUGCAAAACCUCUGACUUCGGGCAUUGUCAUUGAUGAGACUUGGCAUUCAGAUCCAGAAUUUUGCGAGAAAUCCAAGGUUUGUAUAUCAAAAUUUCCUGACAAUAUUGCUGUUCAUUUCUUUCACUUGUGAAAUUUUAGUGUUGAAUUACAUUCAGAGUUCCUGUUACAUGGUGAAACUGGUAAAAUGCUGAUUCUGAGAGGAGUUGGGACAUCAGGGAACAUUUCUCUCUUAAAUCACAUAGCUUUCACUAGACACUUUUUACGGAUACCCAAACCAAGGAGUGCCUGUCUCAUCACUUACAGUUGUUUGUGUUACUCUUGCAAUUUGGCCUGGCGCCAUGUUAGAUGCUACAUAUGCUUAUUGAAUACAACAGUUUCUCUAUACUUUACUUGCUGGAGGAGAACUACUUAUCUUUCGUUUCUUUUAGCCGGUAAUCUCCGAAUGCCUUGGAUGACAUCGAAUGAAGUCAAUGUCAUGGCAAUGGUUAUUAUAUGUGUUGAAUGAGGCGAAACAUUCUAACAGUCUCUUUGGCUUAUCUAUCUUCAGCUCUGGUAUAUGCUUUCAAAAACCUUAGCAGAGAAGGCAGCUUGGGAAUUCGCCAAAGAGAAAGGAAUUGACCUUGUCACGAUAAACCCAGGAUAUGUGAUCGGCCCUAUCUUGCAGCCCACUGUUAAUCUCACUGUGCAGACAAUACUGAACUUCAUUAAUGGUAUCACUAUCAUCUAGCCAUAAAUUAUGUUUGUUAUUGAAUCUUUGCCAUUUUAUUUCAGAGCGUCUUCAUCAAACAUUUGUGCAUGCUUUUUCUCAUUACCCAAAAGACAAUCUCAAGGAGUAACUAUAGAACUAUGUUUCUGAUUAAAGACGAUCUCAAUGAAGUCAUAUGCCCUUAACCAUACUUAUGAGUUAUGGGCGCAUGUGUCUCAGAAUGUAUUUCUGCAUUGGUCCAUGGAAUAGCUAUCCUUCUUUGCUAGAUAACUGAAUUUGGCAACAUGAGGUCCCGAGGCCCUUUCAUUCUAUCUACUGAAUCUGUCUUAUGUAUUUAAGGGUUUGCUUAAUUGGCUGCACAGACACUAUUAUAAUCAUUUCUGGUAGAUUUCCAUGUGCGACAUGGUUUUCAACUACUGGCAGUGGCAGCAUUUGGUACAAAGUUGUCUUGACGUUUGCAUGGGAGUAAUUGAGGCUUAUCCUGCAGGAGC